Molecule: long non-coding RNA, 1060 nt
Organism: Rattus norvegicus (Norway rat)
Lineage: Eukaryota; Metazoa; Chordata; Mammalia; Rodentia; Muridae
Product: glyceraldehyde-3-phosphate dehydrogenase pseudogene
Source: RefSeq, a predicted model, not a curated record
AACCAAUCGCUGCUCAGUCUCAGAGGCUGGAGGUCUCAGCAGUGAGGAUCUGCUCUGAAGACCUAGGUGACUCCCGGAGAAACUCUGAUCUUCAGUCCACAUCGGAAGCCUGGAGAUUCAGUGAUAUUUAGUGAAAAGCCAUGAAUUUGCCUGGCAGGUUUAGCAGCUUGGGAAAACUGAAUUUGGAGGGAAACAGGAAGCCCGAGGAAAAGAAACCCUUCAGAUUUUAGAAGUCUGAGCCAUUUCUCAGAAAGGCCAAAAGGGAAAAGGCGGUUAUUAUUCUUUAUGCUAAAUCCAGCUGUCCUCCCCAUGGUGGCCAUGUAAAUCCUGGCACUGAGCGUGUGGCAGAAUAAAACCACGGCUGUGGGAAGCUUUCACUGAAGAGCAACAGGCGGCCCCAAGCCCCAAACUGCUCCAGCCAUUUUCUCCUAAAAAUGUAAGGUUCUAUUCAUCAAAAACUUUUAUAUAUUCUUGUGAUUUUUCCUUUAAAAGAAAAUGAAGAAGACAACGAAGAGAGAUCAACAUGAUAUACAGGCAAAGAAUAGGGCCCCGUGGUUCACAGACCAUGGUGUCUUUUCAUUCUCUGGAGUAAGUAAAUAAUCUCGGAGAGGCUUGGCGUUGACUGUGUUCUGCGCACAAAAAUGGCCAAAGAGGGACCUGCCCUCCAAUUAGACAUCUAAAUGAUUCUGUUUGAAGGAAGCUGUCUCCUCCACAGACCCAUUUAACAAGAUGAAUUACCCAAGGGCCGAGUGUAAGGCACUGAAACUUGGUUUUAAUGUGAUUUCAAAAUAUCAGACUUCUUGCCAUCUCUUCUCAAGCAAAAGAGAAUUCAUCACGUAGACAUGAUGUAAAGUUUAAGACAUUUAAGCCCUCUGAUUUUAUUCUCCCUCGUGUUUCUUCAGACUUUGAAAACAAUUACAGGUCACACACAUCUAAUCCAAGCACUGGAGGCAGGGGAAUCACAAGUUUAAGGCCAGCUACACGCAUAAUGAGCUGCAUCUCAAAACAAUAAGCAAAUAAAUAAAUGACUGAAAAAAGAACAUUCAUUCAGAGUCCAAAA